This is a long non-coding RNA of Mustela erminea (ermine), 395 nucleotides long. RefSeq lists it as uncharacterized. Lineage: Eukaryota; Metazoa; Chordata; Mammalia; Carnivora; Mustelidae. The transcript is spliced from 4 exons. The record is from RefSeq and is a predicted model, not a curated record.
GAUCCUGAGAUCAAGACCUGAGCUAAGAUCAAGGUCGGAUAUUUAACCGACUGAGUCACCCAAGCACGCUAAUCUUGGUUUUUUAACAGCCAGCCAGUGAGGAAGGUAUUGUCAUUAUCCCCAUGUCGCAGAUAAGGAACUGAGGCCUACAGAGGGUAAUAAUUGGCCCAAGAUCACACAGCAGUUCCAAAAUCCAAAAGACAUCCAUGGAAGGGCAUUGAAAGGUUGCAUAAUCUACAAAGUAUACCCCCAACAUCUCCAAAGAUGGGAGAAAAAAGAAGUAAGGGAAAAUAGAAGUGAGACCAGCAAGAGAGAGAGAGAGAGAGAGAAAGUGAUAAUGGUGAUUUUCAACUUAAAAAGGGAGAGAGCGAGAGAGAGCACAGAUGUGAGGGGCA